UUUAAUAUUAAAUAUUUCGAGCUAUAUUAUUUAUUUAUAAGAAUCUCAGAAAACGGGUGCGUUCGAGCAAUGUUCAGUCACUUUGAAUUCUAUUCUACUACAAAUUAUAAAUUGGAGUGUCGGUCGGAACUCUUGGUAGGAAGAAAUAGUGAAUGCGACAGCUGUCAGAGAGAAAUGCGACAAAAAGACGUGUGGUUUCGACGGCGCAGUAAAUACAUUAUGUAUACAUAUAGAGUAGGUUGCCUUUGUGCUUGCUGCUAUCUGAUCUGAUAUGACUAAUAUGUAUAACAUAUAUAUACGUUGUACGUAUGUAUAUAGUCAUCACCAGCAGAAGCAGAAGCAAACCCAAACCCCAAACCAAAGACCCAACGCUAACUGAUGACGUUAACCUUUCUUCGUCGUCGUCGAUGUGAGAAUGAAAAUGAACCGUGCUAAUGUUUACGAAUUCGUCUGGUGUUAACAUGAUCGUCUCAUAGCCAAAUCGUAUAUCUGUUGCAAGGAAAUUAUAGCAGAAUUUGGCUGGGUGAUCAGUUCGUCUCGUAGUACUUAACGCAAAUCGAGAGGAAGGAGAAGAGAAUCUAACAAAAAUACGUACGGACGAGGAGAAGUGUAAUAUAUAAAUAUUAUAAUCGAAACGUGCGUCGUCGCGGGAAAGAGUUUUGCGACAGACCGUAGUCGUUGGAAAUUCUUUUACGUUCGGAACGCCCUUUUUAUUUAACAAAAAAGUGGAGAAUAUCGGGCAUGGAAAAUACUUUGCACAAGAAUAAUCAGGAUGAUUCAGACUCGGAAGUGGAUGAGGUAGAGCCCAGGCUUAAAUACGUCAGGAUGCGAAAUGAUUUGGAACACAUAUUGCAGAACGAUGCCGCUAGCUGCAUAGCAGUGCACCCUAAGUUCCUAUGUUUAGGCUCGCACUGGGGCAUGAUACAUCUUCUGGAUCAUCAGGGAAACAAUAUCCAGUCGAAAAGUUUGCAAGCUCACACCGUCGCUGUGAACCAGAUUUCCAUAGACCAAAAAGGAGAUUUCAUCGCGUCCUGCAGCGACGAUGGAAAGGUUUUUAUAUAUGGUCUUUACAGCACAGAGAACAAUCAUAACAUGAGCAUGGGUAGAUUGGUCAAGAGCAUCGCUAUAGAUCCAAAUUAUUAUAAGAGCGGCAGCGGAAGGAGAUUUAUCACGGGGGAUGAUAAAUUGGUUUUGUAUGAAAAAACUUUUUUAUCCAGAAUGAAACUAACUGUAUUGUGCGAAGCGGAGGGCGGGGUAAGGUCAGUGGCAUGGAUUGGACAUUUCGUGGCAUGGGCUUCCGACACUGGUGUCAGGGUGUACGAUUUGAACGCCAGAUGUUCGUUAGGUCUUAUUAAAUGGACCAGGUCCGCUGAUGCGUUACCAGAACAUUAUAGAUGUAAUCUUCGGUGGUCGGACGACAGAACAUUACUAAUCGGUUGGGUCGACGUGGUACGAGUUUGUCAAAUUAGAAAAAGAUCGAUACAAGAAAUGGUCAACAGAGAUCUGCCGGAGUAUGUGGUAGACCCAGUGUCAACGUUUCAAGUGGACUUUUACAUUUCCGGUAUUGCACCGCUGGAAAAUCAAUUGGUGUUACUGGGUUGUUUGAAAGAGACGGACGAAAAUGGGAAAAGUCAGAGACCGACGUUGCAUGUUGUCGAACCGAAGUAUCAAGAUUUCUCUGUUGUCUGCGGGAACUCUCUUACGUUACGUGGUUACAAAGAGUAUAGUUGUAACGAUUAUCAUUUAGACUGUUUGAUAGAAGAGAACAGAUUCUUUAUCGUAAGCCCGAAGGACGUUGUUGUGGCCAGUUUGUACGAUGCGGAUGAUAGAAUCGAGUGGUUAUUGAUGCACGGAAAAUUCGAACAAGCGUUGGAGGCAGUGACGGUGAACAACGGCAAAGACUGUAAGAAACACACAUUGGUGAACGUCGGUCGCGUAUAUUUAGAUCAUUUGUUGACUUGUGAAAAGUACGAUGAGGCAGGAAAAUUGUGCUUGAAAAUCUUAGGGAAGGACAGGAAAUUAUGGGAAGAAGAAGUAUACAAGUUCGCCAGGGUGCAUCAAUUGCGGUCGAUCUCUUCUUACUUGCCGAGGGGCGAUGUAACGUUGGAUCCAUUGAUUUACGAGAUGGUUCUCUACGAGUAUCUGAAAAUGGAUCCCGACGGAUUUCUGCAACUGGUCAAGGAAUGGUCGCCGAAAUUGUAUAAAGUCGCAGCCGUCGUGAACGGCGUCUUGGAACAUCUCCUGGUUCACAAUCAGCAGCAGAAACCGGAUAGAACGGUGUUGUUGGAAGCGUUAGCGAUUUUGUACAUUCACGACGGGAAAUACGACAAAGCGUUAGCGAUGUACUUGAAGCUGAGGCACAAAGACGUGUUUCAACUGAUUCAAAAGUACCAAUUGUACCACACCGUUUACGACAUGAUAGAGGGUCUGAUGGAUCUAGACGCAGAACGAGCGAUACAAUUUUUUCUGGAGAAGGACAGGGUGCCGUCCGAUGUCGUUGUACAAGAACUGCAACGUAAUCAACGAUAUUUAUAUUUGUAUUUGGACGCGUUGGACAAGAAAGACUCGAAGGGGAAAUAUCACGGGUCGCUGGUCCGACUUUAUGCCGAUUACUCACGAGACAAAUUGUUACCGCUUCUACGCCGAUCGGAUAAUUAUCCGAUACAAGAGGCCCUAGACAUAUGUAGUCAGCGAAAGUUCUUCCCAGAAAUGGUGUAUCUGCUUGGCAGAAUCGGAAACACGUCUGAAGCUUUGGCGCUCAUGACCAGGGAACUGAACGACAUGGAAAGCGCGAUCGCGUUCUGCCAAGAACACGACGACGAGGAAUUGUGGAACGACCUUAUCGUUUAUUCGUUGGACAAACCUAAGGCGAUCACGUUUUUACUGCAGAAAAUAGGCACCUACGUUGAUCCUAGACUCAUGAUACAAAGUAUAGAUCCAUCUUUAGAAAUACCUGGUUUGAAGAAAGCUUUGGUGAAAAUGAUGUGCGAUUACAAUCUUCAAGUGUCGGUGCAGAAAGGUUGUAAGAAGAUACUGUCCAAUGAUUAUUUUAAUUUACAAGAAAGACUCAUUAAAUGUCAUCAGAAAGGAAUAUUUAUAGACGACGACCAAAUGUGUGGAGCAUGCCAUAGGAAGAUAAUUGUACGAGAGCCAAGAAAUCUAGUUGUAUUUUAUUGCAAACAUUCGUUUCACGAAGAUUGUUUACCAAACUUCGAAGUUGUGGAAAAUUGCGUUAUAUGUAAUUCUCAGAAGGAUACGUCUCUUGGUGGUGGUGGUGGUGAUGGCGGCAGGAAAUGAUAAAGGUAACAGAUUCGAAAUCGUCGAGACAAACGUUUUCUGCGAUCGCGGCCGCGCAUAAUUUACUGUUUCAAUCUUUUCAAGAUUUCAUCGACGGUGGUACACUUCAUACACGUCCGUGAUAUUUUCAAGCAACCGGGACACUUGGAGUGAGACUGAAAAUUAAACGGAAGUGUGUCAUGUCGUUGCGACUCAUCACGCUCUCUCGUUAUCCACAAGUUUUUAGAAUUCAAACGUUUCGCGUGUCACACACUGGUUCAUGUCGUCAAAUCAUAACGAUGCAGUGGAACUUUGCAGUCGCCGAGCUGAUGACCUUCGACCCACCGAAAUGACCGUCAAUCGACAUCGAGGAUUGUACGUGAACAAAGAACUCGCGCUCCUCGGGACCGAGCGAUUCCACUAAAAUGCAAUAACAGCCUAUCGGCUUCCCAGCUCCCGUCGUAGAUUCAUCUUUCGAGCAGAUCAUUAGCGACUCUCGAAAGCAUAGAGCUGCUCUCUUCUCGUGGUCUGAAGUGCAACGAACAGAAGAAAAAAAAAAAGGAAAGGAAGUGCACAGAAAAGUGGUGGUGAUGUGGUGGCGGCCGCUGGCUCGCCGAUAGCAUCCAAAAUUAAUUUAUUGCAUACGCGGAAUAAAAAAUAUUCAAAGUAGACACAUUCCAUACACACCCACGUACACGUGCGCGCGUACGCGCGUAACUAAUCUUACCAGUGGCAAAUAAAUUCAACGAUAUGUACAUUAA
Molecule: RNA transcript, 4037 nt
Organism: Ceratina calcarata
Lineage: Eukaryota; Metazoa; Arthropoda; Insecta; Hymenoptera; Apidae
Gene: lt
Gene name: vacuolar protein sorting-associated protein light
Exons: 14
Source: RefSeq, a predicted model, not a curated record